RNAcentral lists this ribosomal RNA (356 nucleotides) under uncultured Glomeraceae. RNAcentral's name for it is "SSU rRNA". It matches the Rfam family "Eukaryotic small subunit ribosomal RNA", at positions 569 to 929 of the family's 1831-position model. The record is from RNAcentral. Lineage: Eukaryota; Fungi; Glomeromycota; Glomeromycetes; Glomerales; Glomeraceae.
AGCAGCCGCGGUAAUUCCAGCUCCAAUAGCGUAUAUUAAAGUUGUUGCAGUUCAAAAGCUCGUAGUUGAAUUUCGGGGUCAGUAGAUUGGUCGUGCCACUGGUAUGUACUGGUCUCACUGGCUCCUCCUUCCUGAUGAACCGUAAUGCCAUUAAUUUGGUGUUGCGGGGAGACUGGACUGUUACUUUGAAAAAAUUAGAGUGUUUAAAGCAGGCUAACGCUUGAAUACAUUAGCAUGGAAUAAUGAAAUAGGACGUUCGAUCUUAUUUUGUUGGUUUCUAAGAUUGACGUAAUGAUUAAUAGGGAUAGUUGGGGGCAUUAGUAUUCAAUUGUCAGAGGUGGAAUUCUUGGAGUUAU